CAGCCGCCGCGGUAAUACCGGCACCACAAGUGGUAUCCGCGCAUAUUGGGUCUAAAGCGCUCGUAGUCGGUUUAGUAAGUUAUUGGUGAAAUUCUUGAGCUUAACUUGAGAGCGUGCCAGUAAAACUACUAGACUUGGGAGUGGGGGAGGUUAGAAGUACGCUUGGGGUAGGGGUUAAAUCCGUUAAUCCUGGGCGGACUAGCAGUGGCGAAGGCGUCUAACCAAAACACGUCCGACGAUGAGGUGCGAAGGCCAGGGGAGCAAACGGGAUUAGAUACCCCGGUAGUCCUGGCUGUAAAUGAUGUAGAUUUGGUGUUACGUUAGCCUCGAGCUGACGUAGUGCCGUAGCGUAGGUGUUAAAUCUACCACCUGGGGAGUACGGCCGCAAGGCUAAAACUUAAAGGAAUUGGCGGGGGAGCACCACAAGGCGUGGAGGCUGCGGUUUAAUUGGAUUCAACGCCGGGAAUCUUACUGGGAACGACGGCAGGAUGAUAGCCAGGCUGAAGACCUUGCUUGACAAGCCGAGAGGUGGUGCAUGGCC
RNAcentral lists this ribosomal RNA (541 nucleotides) under uncultured archaeon. RNAcentral's name for it is "bacterial SSU rRNA". It matches the Rfam family "Archaeal small subunit ribosomal RNA", at positions 459 to 999 of the family's 1478-position model. The record is from RNAcentral.